This 772-nucleotide long non-coding RNA is filed under the name Mus pahari (shrew mouse). RNAcentral's name for it is "lncRNA (MGP_PahariEiJ_G0006068.1)". Lineage: Eukaryota; Metazoa; Chordata; Mammalia; Rodentia; Muridae. The record is from RNAcentral.
UGAAUCUCUAAACACCUUCAUGUCAUCCUCAAUCAUCCUUCCAACAUGUCUGCUUCUAUAUGAAAGGAAGUCCAGCAUUGGCUUAUGUUUACUUUACCGUACUUCUACAGGUAAUGUUCUUCCUGGGCUCAUUCUGUUGCUCAUUCUCUCCAAAAAUCUCAUCUUAUGGGGUCAGAAAGGGGCUUUGAAAACCAGAACACCUACUAUUCUAGACAGCUGGGAACCUUGCCCAACGUAAAAGAACAAAGGAGACGCUACCUUUGUACCCUACACUUGGUGACUCUGUCAGGAAAGCUUGCGUUUCUUUUCAUGCAGCCUGAGACUUCCCUCUUGCUCUGUUUUCAGAUAAACUACAGCUGCUUACAGCCUUCCGCUAUUCCCCAGUACUAAUUAAUGAGUGGAGGAAUGAACUGGACCCAUUCCAACUGCCUUUACUUUUUUGUAAAGAACUCAGUCCUGUUUAAAUCACGUUAAUGAAGACAGUGAAUAACUCCAAGAGUCUCUGAAGACAUAAGAAACUUCACCAUGAAACCACCCACUCUCUUCCUUUUUCUUUUCAACCUACAUUAGUUUAAAAAAAAAAAAAAACUAAACUAAACUAAAAACCCAUCUCCAGACAGCUGGUGAUCCUGUGGUGAUGGAGUUUCAAUUGUGAGUAUUGUUCAUGGCUCUUGUCAGCAGUGUGAGCCUGGGAGAGUGGAACCUAAAAAUGAGACAGACUAAAGUCCCGAGCAAUUGUCAGCUUCAUUCAGAACAUCAGAAAAUUUAUACU